UCCAAGCCGUAAAUGAUGCUCGCUAGACGUUUCUCAAUUUAUUGGGGAGUGUCGAACCUAACGGGUUAAGCGAGUCGCCUGGGGAGUAUAGUCGCAAGUCUGAAACUCAAAAGGAUAGGCGGGGGAACACACAAGCAGUGGAUUACCUCGAUUAAUUGGAUAUUAAGCCAAGAAUCUUACCCGGACUUGACAUAGCUGAGAAUCUGUCCCGAAAGGACGGCGUGCUCUGAUUU
This 233-nucleotide ribosomal RNA is filed under the name uncultured bacterium. RNAcentral describes it as "partial 16S ribosomal RNA". It matches the Rfam family "Bacterial small subunit ribosomal RNA", at positions 794 to 1022 of the family's 1533-position model. The record is from RNAcentral.